RNAcentral lists this ribosomal RNA (995 nucleotides) under Cressona divaricata. RNAcentral's name for it is "partial large subunit ribosomal RNA". The stretch from base 453 to 612 matches the Rfam family "Archaeal large subunit ribosomal RNA", at positions 1886 to 2087 of the family's 2987-position model. Lineage: Eukaryota; Metazoa; Arthropoda; Insecta; Hemiptera; Pentatomidae. The record is from RNAcentral.
CCGGCGUCAGGUUAUUAAUUUUAUAAUUUAAAAAUUUAAUUCCCGAAAUUAAAGGAGAUAUUAAAUAUUGUUAGUUAAUGUUUUAUAAUUAUUAUUAAAUAUUUAAUAGAAGUUAUAUGCUAUUCAUUUUUAAAUAUCUGGUUUCUUGAUAAUUGAAUUUAAUUCAGAAUUAAAGUUUUUAUUUAAAAAUUAAAUUUUAAAUAUUAAAUUUAAUUUAAAAUUAUAGGGGAUAAGCUCUAUUAAUUUUUUUAUACUAAAAAUUUAAAUUAAUAAUUUGUAGGAUUAAAAAUUUCCAUCUUUAUUAAAUUUUAACAAUAAUUUAUUUUUAUUAAAUUAAUUUUAUGGAAAAGUUAAUAUUAUAUUGAGAAUUAUAAUAUAAUAAAGAUUUUGUAGUUAUAAUGAUAGAAUUAGUAAAAUUUUUAAUUAAUAUAUAGUAACUUGGCAAAACUAUUCUUCACCUGUUUAUCAAAAACAUGUCUUAAUGUAUUAUAUAUUAGGUUUUACCUGCUCAAUGAUUUAUUAAAAUUAAAUAGCCGCAGUAUUUUGACUGUGCGAAGGUAGCAUAAUCAUUUGUCUUUUAAUUGAAGGCUUGUAUGAAUGGUUUGAUGAGAGAAUAACUUUCUUUAUAUUAAAUAUUGAAUUUAAUUUUUAAGUAAAAAAGCUUAAAUUUUUAAAUGGGACGAGAAGACCCUAUAGAAUUUUAUUUAAAUUUUUAAUUUAAAAUUAUUGGUUAUAUUAUUUUUUAUAUUAUUAUUUAAAUUUUGUUGGGGUGACAGUAAGAUAUUUUUAACUCUUAUAAUUUAAAAAUUAAUUAUUAUUAUAUUAAAGAUCCUAUUUUAAGGAAUAAUAGAUCAAAUUACCUUAGGGAUAACAGCGUAAUUUUUUUGGAGAGUUCUUAUCAAUAAAAGAGUUUGCGACCUCGAUGUUGGAUUAAAAUUAGAUUUUAGUGCAGAAGCUAAAAUUACUAGGUCUGGUCGACCUUAAAUUUAUAGGUG